This 425-nucleotide ribosomal RNA is filed under the name uncultured bacterium. RNAcentral describes it as "partial 16S ribosomal RNA". It matches the Rfam family "Bacterial small subunit ribosomal RNA", at positions 354 to 796 of the family's 1533-position model. The record is from RNAcentral.
GUGGGGAAUCUUGCGCAAUGGGCGAAAGCCUGACGCAGCCAUGCCGCGUGAAUGAUGAAGGUCUUAGGAUUGUAAAAUUCUUUCACCGGGGACGAUAAUGACGGUACCCGGAGAAGAAGCCCCGACUAACUUCGUGCCAGCAGCCGCGGUAAUACGAAGGGGGCUAGCGUUGCUCGGAAUUACUGGGCGUAAAGGGAGCGUAGGCGGACAGUUUAGUCAGAGGUGAAAGCCCAGGGCUCAACCUUGGAAUUGCCUUUGAUACUGGCUGUCUUGAGUACGGGAGAGGUGAGUGGAACUCCGAGUGUAGAGGUGAAAUUCGUAGAUAUUCGGAAGAACACCAGUGGCGAAGGCGACUCACUGGCCCGUUACUGACGCUGAGGCGCGAAAGCGUGGGGAGCAAACAGGAUUAGAUACCCGUGUAGUCC